Molecule: transfer RNA, 76 nt
Filed under: Azospirillum brasilense
Lineage: Bacteria; Pseudomonadati; Pseudomonadota; Alphaproteobacteria; Rhodospirillales; Azospirillaceae
Also listed under: 6 other names
Description: tRNA-Ala
Rfam family: tRNA
About the family: Transfer RNA (tRNA) molecules are approximately 80 nucleotides in length. Their secondary structure includes four short double-helical elements and three loops (D, anti-codon, and T loops).
Source: RNAcentral
GGGGCAUUAGCUCAGCUGGUAGAGCGCUUGCAUGGCAUGCAAGAGGUCAGCGGUUCGACUCCGCUAUGCUCCACCA